UACGUAGGGUGCGAGCGUUAAUCGGAAUUACUGGGCGUAAAGCGUGCGCAGGCGGUUUUGUAAGCCAGAUGUGAAAUCCCCGGGCUUAACCUGGGAAUGGCAUUUGGGACUGCAAGGCUUGAGUGCGGCAGAGGAGACUGGAAUUCCUGGUGUAGCAGUGAAAUGCGUAGAUAUCGGGAGGAACACCAGUGGCGAAGGCGACUACCUGGCCUGUUUCUUGACGCUGAGGCGCGAAAGCUAGGGGAGCAAACGGG
This 254-nucleotide ribosomal RNA is filed under the name uncultured bacterium. Its description in RNAcentral is "partial 16S ribosomal RNA". It matches the Rfam family "Bacterial small subunit ribosomal RNA", at positions 524 to 776 of the family's 1533-position model. The record is from RNAcentral.